This 460-nucleotide ribosomal RNA is filed under the name Caloctenus albertoi. Its description in RNAcentral is "partial large subunit ribosomal RNA". Lineage: Eukaryota; Metazoa; Arthropoda; Arachnida; Araneae; Ctenidae. The record is from RNAcentral.
AAAAACAUUUUUAUUAGGAAUAAUUAAUAAUAAAAUCUGCUCAAUGAAAAUUAAAUAGCCGCAAUAUAGUGCUAAGGUAGCAUAAUCAUUUGUCUUUUAAUUAAAGACUAGAACAAAAGAUUUAACAUUUAAAUUUAUUUCUAAUAUUUAAAUAAUUUAAAUUAUUUUAAUUGUAACAAAACAAUUAUUUUCAAGAAAGACGAUAAGACCCUAUUGAACUUAACUUUAGUUAAACUGGGGAAGUAAAUUAAUUAUAAUUUUAAUAUUAAUAUAAUAUAAAUUUGAUCCAAUCAAAUUGAUUAAUUCAUUAAGUUACCAUAGGGAUAACAGCAUAAUAGAAUUUUUAAGAUCUCAUUUAAAAUUAAGUUUAUGACCUCGAUGUUGAUUUAAUUUUCUAAUCUUACGCAAUAGUUAAUUAAGAAAGUCUGUUCGACUUUUAAAAAAUUACAUGAUCUGAGUU